AGGAUGCUUUUGGCGCGGUGCCUUCCGAGUUCCCUGGAACGGGACGCCAUAGAGGGUGAGAGCCCCGUCUGGUCGGACGCCUAGCCUAUGUAAAGCUCCUUCGACGAGUCGAGUAGUUUGGGAAUGCUGCUCUAAAUGGGAGGUAUAUGUCUUCUAAAGCUAAAUAUUGGCCAGAGACCGAUAGCGCACAAGUAGAGUGAUCGAAAGAUGAAAAGCACUUUGAAAAGAGGGUUAAAUAGUACGUGAAAUUGUUGAAAGGGAAGCGCUUAUGACCAGACUUGGGCCCGGUGGAUCAUCCAGCGUUCUCGCUGGUGCACUCCGCCGGGUUCAGGCCAGCAUCAGUUCGCCGCGGGGGAAAAAGGCUUCGGGAACGUGGCUCCUACGGGAGUGUUAUAGCCCGUUGCAUAAUACCCUGGGGCGGACUGAGGUUCGCGC
RNAcentral lists this ribosomal RNA (435 nucleotides) under Purpureocillium lavendulum. RNAcentral's name for it is "eukaryotic LSU rRNA". It matches the Rfam family "Eukaryotic large subunit ribosomal RNA", at positions 156 to 598 of the family's 3401-position model. The record is from RNAcentral. Lineage: Eukaryota; Fungi; Ascomycota; Sordariomycetes; Hypocreales; Ophiocordycipitaceae.